UACGAAGGGGGCUAGCGUUGUUCGGAAUUACUGGGCGUAAAGCGCACGUAGGCGGAUUUGUAAGUCAGUGGUGAAAUCCCGUGGCUCAACCUCGGAACUGCCUUUGAUACUGCAAGUCUCGAGUCCGGAAGAGGUGGGUGGAAUUCCUAGUGUAGAGGUGAAAUUCGUAGAUAUUAGGAAGAACACCAGUGGCGAAGGCGGCCCACUGGUCCGGUACUGACGCUGAGGUGCGAAAGCGUGGGGAGCAAACAGG
Molecule: ribosomal RNA, 253 nt
Filed under: uncultured bacterium
Lineage: Bacteria
Description: partial 16S ribosomal RNA
Rfam family: Bacterial small subunit ribosomal RNA
Source: RNAcentral